CAUAAUUUUAAAAAACUGUGCUUAUGCUAAAAACAGAUCCUUAGCAUUCUUCCAGUAUUCUUAGUUGUGUCAUUUGCUUUAAAAUAAGCCUAAGAAUUGCACCAGAAUUAGCUGCACAACUCCGCCAGGAAAUGCAAAGUUUUAUUGUUAUAGGAUUCUAGAAACAAUCAUAUUAUAUAUCUGGAAACUCUAUACACACAUGCCCACACACACAAAAACACACACAAUUUUCACUGAAUAGACAUCAUAAUAAGCACACUGAAAACCUAAUAAAGUUAUUAUAAAGCUGUAGAACACAAUGAUUAAAAGCAAAUGAUAAUCUUAAAUUUUAAAGAACUGAAAAUAUUAGAAUUUAAGAAUUAAAAUGUUCUAAUUGUUCUUUGGUCCACUAUCAUAGAUUUCAAGCAGAUUAAUUAAUGUAGUAGAAUGACAUUAAUAGUUCCUAUCAAUGGGAUUUAAUUUAUACCAUUUUGAAAAUAGUUUGUUGUCAUAUAUUGUUUACUGUGUGACUUCUUGUAUUUGCUCUAAAGUAAGGCUAAAUCACAUCUUAGCCUCAUCUCAUCCAAGGAAGUGAUUACAGUAAAGGUAUCCAUGUUGGGUUAAUGUGUAAAAUAGUGGUUGUGGAUUAAUGUGGGUUUGAUGUAGGAAUUUAUUAUUCUCCUUAUUAAGAUUAGCUUGAAAUGUACUGUGUGACGAAUAUUUAGUCUAUUCAAUAAGUGGUAUUCAACAGAUAUAUAUCAACAAGUGCUAUGUACCAACCACUGUUCAAGGUGGCAGAUAAAAAUAUAGGCAAAGAUAAUAUUAAUCCAAAUUGCACAUGAAAACAUUUGAUACUAUUGAUAAUGUGGCAGAUGAAAUGAUUUUCACUUUAUUAUAAUUUUUAAGAGAAUGAGAUAAUUAAAUGUGUACUGUAAGUGUUACAAGAAGCCUAUCCAUGUUAUUCUUUACUGAAAUAAUUAGAUUACAAAAAUCACCUUUUUCAAAAGAAAUUUAUAUUAUAAAUGCUCCCAUGGCAAAAACAAAAAGCCUGGUCUUUGACUUGGAAUAUAUUCUUAUUAUAUAAAGUAAGAUACAUGGCAGAGAGAAGAAAAAACAAUUUUAUUCAUCUGUCCUGGUAAUGACAAAAAAGACAGAAGUCAUAUUUUUUUUGCAAUUUUAGAUUGGACUCCUAAGAAUAGCAGACAGUUGGCAGUGUAAAUAUGUUGUAAAUUAGCUAGCCCUGAAACAAAAUGACUGAUCAUUAGCAAAUCGGGCAACUUUUAUUAUUGCCAUUGUAAGUUGCUUUACCUAUCAUGAGUGUGCUCUUAUACUAUUAGAAUUGAAAUCUAUUCUGUACUGCCAAUUUAUAUCCCUGUUUUAUAAUCUUGGGAUUCUUGCUUUACAUUCUAAAAUGUUGUCUCUGAACAAUUAGUGAAUAUCAAGUAAGUUUUUUAUUUUUUUUAAAGGUAGUCUUAAAAGUCUAAUGAUCUUUAGUGAAAAUAAUGAGGAGAUUUGGAUAUGGUGGUUCAUUUCUGUAAUCCCAAGUAGUUGGAAGGAUGAGGCAGGAGUAUAUUACUUGAACCCUGGAGUGUGAGGACUGAUUGAGCUAUGUGCUAUCAUCAUGCCACUGCAGUCCAGCCUGGGCCACAGAGCAUAAUCUGAAUAAAAAAUAGAACUAUAAAAAGUAAUAUAGCAUUGCUGUUUUUAAUUCACUUGUAGUAAUGCAUAGAUAGCAUAUUUAGCCAAAACGUUUUAAACUGGUAAUAUGCCAAGAGGUCAGAUGUUUGAGUCAGAUUGCUAGCUAGCUCCUCAACUGGCUAAAUCUGUAGUAUUUUGCAAAGUAUUUCUCCUAAAUGUAAUUAGUUUUUUUAUUUGUUAAAUGGAUUUACUAAUGCUACCUGCUUAGGAAACUAACUCUGAUAUUAAUUAGUUUACCUCAAAAACUUGUUCUGAAUGACAUAUAUUAGGCAAUAAAAUAUUAGCUACUACUUGAUAUUACAAAUUCUUUUCAUCUGUUUACUUUUAAAGCUCAUAGUGAGCACAAUAAAAUUCCAGAAGACCGAUGAUGGCUGUUAGAUAUAACAGAACGCUCUGAGAGUCACUAUCAGAAAUGAGCAUAUCAGUGCAUAAAAUGUAUGGUAGCUUUAUUUAGCAGCUGUUUCAUUGUUUACCAUAGCAUUUUUUCUUACAAUUUUGUAGAAGCCUGUGUCAGAAUCAAGAAGUUUUUUUUAGAAGAUGAUAAUCAUGGAUGAUUGAAAUCAUACUGAAAAUUAUUCUAAAUUCUAUUAUAUUUAUAGUUGUAUUUUCUUUCAAAGGAUAAUGGAAGUCUUAAAAAGAAAAUGGAUACUUCUCUGCCAGGGGAGAUACUGUGAUCAUGAAGGUGGCUUUCCCAGGGCAAGGCUGAUCUAUUGCAUUCUGGAUGUGCUGACUCCUACGAUUUCCCCAAGUGUGGGAAACUCAACUGCAUAAUUUGUGGAAAAUUUGAAGCCAGAUGACAAAGAUGCCUUAGAUGAGCAUAAGUCCUCUCCAACAGAAUAUGCUCCAUUAUAUCCUCAUCCAACAGGCUUUAUGUAUCAAUAGCCUGCCAACAGGACAUUGUUCAUCCACCUUGAAACGGCCAUUCAUCAACCAAGCAGGUUGUUGUUGUCAAUAGGGAGCUCUUCAAAGGGCAUUGCCCAUGUGACAGUGGGAUCCAGUAAUUCCUGAGGUGGUUCCAGACUACAUGCUAGAAAAUUCCCUACUACCUGCUCUUGAACAGGAUGAGCAACUCCUUGCACUUCCCUGGUUUGUGAUGAAGAAAUAAACAAUGCCCAGUUCCUGCCCUGGAGAAGCUCAUUGCAUAGAAAAAGGAAAAAGGCAGAUAUACAUGCCACAGUACAGUGCUGAGACAACAUAAAUCACAAGCAACCAAGUACAAAGUGAAUUAUACAGAAUCUGGUUUUCUUCUGUUUGGAUUUGAUACUGAGCUAUACUGGAUUCACUGACAAGAAGAGUUUGAAUUAGCAGCAUGCUGAGAAUGGACACAGUGUUUGAAGAGACUGAUAAAGAAAGUACAGGAGGAGUUUUAUUUUUGGAAGAAGAAAUGGUCCUUGGGCACAGACCCCAUAUGAGUUUUCCUUUCAGCGUUCUCUGCUCAGCUGUUCUCUGCUGUGGUGAGGCGCCUAUGCUUUGUAUAUGUCUGAAAUUAAUUGAAAAGCUAGUGACAGAUUCUGAUGUCAUUUGCCAUGAGCUUUAUUAUUGUGCAGGUAAUUUUGGAUCAAAUCACCCUAACGUUUUUCAACAAAGACUUUAGAAGAAAUAAAGCUGCAUUACUUUUUCUUGGCGCAUUCUUCCUUUAGGACCUAUAGUGAGGUUUUAAAUAGAGACAGAACUUGCCCUGUGGCCCACGUUGGAGUCCGCUGGCAUGAUCGUGAUCCACUGCAGCCUCAACUUCUUUGGGUUCAAAUGAACUUCCCACCUUAGCCACCUGAGCAUCUCGCCUAUCUGGACUCCACCUAUCCUCCCCUGUCAGCAUCUCACAGCAUAGGCAUGGGCCACCAGAACCAGCUUAUUUUUGUAUUUUUUUAAGCAGAAGAGAUCUUACCAUGUUGUGAAGACUGGUCUCGUACUUCUGGCUGAAGUGAUUUGUUCUCCUAAGCCUUCCAAAUUGGUGGGAUUACAUAUGUGAACCACCACACAAAGACUCCUACUGGUAUAUUUAGAAGGAUAUAAGUAUGCCGGUUUUUGGAUGCAUGCAUGGAGAAGACCCCAAAGCUUUUCACUUUUCCCUGAGUUUGGGCUAAACACUAGAGUUCCUCAAAGAGUCCAUAUCCAAAGUCUGGGCAGUUUUUCUUUUCUUUCUUUUCCUUUUUUUUUUUCUUGGAUUGUUUUUAAAAAAUAUGUCGAGAAUAGUAGACCAUCAAAAAGGUGACAGAACACAGAUUAAGUGGAUAUACAACACAAAGAAUGCAGACCACAAAAAUAGCUCUGGAGGGUUGCUACACAAGUAAACAACCCACAAACUAAGGAAUUGUGGAUGUUAAGAAUUUGUUAUCCAAAUAUGCUGAAUACUAUCCAAUAUUUCAAUUCACUUCAUUUUACUAUUCUCAAAGACCUAAGGGAACCCAGGAGUACAGUGAUUCAAAACUGAAAAUACCAGUAAAGACAUACAGAUUAUUUUAAAAAUGAAAUCAAUAACCUUGAAGUUACUAGGAAGCUGUGUGAUUGAAAGUCAGUCACUCAAUCACAUGAUCCUGGGAUUUUCCUCUACAUGUGGGACUACCCAUACCUUGCAGCAUUGCUGUGAGUUCACCUGAGCAAGACACCUGCACAUGGUGGUGCUCAGGAAAUGUUAAUUUCCCUUUAUUGAAAUGGAACAACCCAUGGGUAUUAUGUCUUGAGGUCUGGAUUACAGUUGAGCAAGAUACAGAAGACGUUGUAAACCCUGAGGAGGCAUCACUGAUCACUGGGAGUCUGGAAAGGCAGCAGAGAAAAAGUGACCUGCAGCUGGAAAUGGCCAAUGGGUCUGUUACAGGAAGUUACACAGGCAUGAGUGGGGCAGAAGAGAGUUCUCCCAUCCACCUACCAGGAAUGUCAGGCCAUCGGGUAAUGGUUGGACAGUUAUCACAUUGCUUUUCUAAAAAUAAUAAUUUAGCAGCAGAGCCAGGGAUAGACAAGUUCCUACUGAUACACAGCUGGUAACAUUAAAGUGUUAACUAAAGUCACACUCCCGGGAGGGGGAAAAAGGGCUUCUAGUAAAAUUUUACAUACUGGGUGAGUGAACUGAGACAUGCACAUUAAGAGACGAAAUGGUACAGCAUGACUUUCUGGGGUCACUCCACCAAAAAAAGGGAGGAAGCUUCAGAUGGGCAUGCAUAUAAAUGCUCAAACACACUGCCUAUGCUCACUUCUCAAGGGUAAGGAGGGCACUGUGCCUGCUGGCAGCCCACACUUAGGAAAGAAUCAUGGAAAAAGGUGCACCAGAUGCUCAAGGUGGGCCAGCCUAUAAAGUCCCAGAAUGAAGAGAAAUGGCCACACUUGUUCUUCAAGUCACCCACUUGGAUCUCUUCCAAGUGCACUUUUCAUUCUUUCCUGCUCUAAAGCUUUUUAAUAAAUGUCCACUCCUGCUGUGAAACUUGCCUCAGGAUUUUUUUUCCUUCUUUAUGCCCAUCAGUUGAACUCUUUCACCUGAGGAGGCAAGAACUGACAUUGCUAAAGACGCAGAUGGAUUUGCUGCCAGUAACUCCGAUACUUUCCACCAGUAACAGAUCUAGGAGCUGGUGGACAUAGUUGCUGAAGCAUGUGUCCAGAAUGUUUCUGCCCAGGCCACAAGCAGUCCUGCACUGUAAAGGGACUUGAACCCCAAGCUCAGGGGACACCAUGGAAAGAGACUUCAGCCCGCUGAUGGAAUACUGGAGAUAGGAAUUUUUUAUUGAGGUAUAAUUCCCAUAAUAUGUUAACUGUUUUUUAAGGUAUAAUUCAGUGACACAGGAAUGUGCAUGUUCUACCACUUCUUAAUUCCAAAUUAUUUUCAUCAUCUCAAAAGGAAAUCCCCUACCUAUUAAGGAGCUACUACCCAAUCUGUCCUCUUUCUGACUCCUGACAAUUAACAAUCUGUUUUCUUUCUCUGUGAAAUUAUUUAUUUUGGAUAUGUUUAUAAAUAAAAUCAUACAAUACGUGA
This 5638-nucleotide long non-coding RNA is filed under the name Homo sapiens (human). RNAcentral describes it as "HSALNT0409442". The stretch from base 2323 to 2490 matches the Rfam family "U1 spliceosomal RNA". The record is from RNAcentral. Lineage: Eukaryota; Metazoa; Chordata; Mammalia; Primates; Hominidae.